This 460-nucleotide ribosomal RNA is filed under the name uncultured bacterium. Its description in RNAcentral is "partial 16S ribosomal RNA". It matches the Rfam family "Bacterial small subunit ribosomal RNA", at positions 338 to 795 of the family's 1533-position model. The record is from RNAcentral.
CCUACGGGGGGCUGCAGUGAGGAAUAUUGGUCAAUGGGCGCGAGCCUGAACCAGCCAAGUAGCGUGAAGGAUGACUGCCCUACGGGUUGUAAACUUCUUUUAUAAAGGGAUAAAAUGAGGCACGUGUGCCUUUUUGUAGGUACUUUAUGAAUAAGGAUCGGCUAACUCCGUGCCAGCAGCCGCGGUAAUACGGAGGAUCCGAGCGUUAUCCGGAUUUAUUGGGUUUAAAGGGGGCGUAGAUGGGUUGUUAAGUCAGUUGUGAAAGUUUGCGGCUUAACCGUGAAAUUGCAAUUGAUACUGGCAGCCUUGAGUACAGUUGAGGUAGGCGGAAUGCGUGGUGUAGCGGUGAAAUGCUUAGAUAUCACGCAGAACUCCGAUUGCGAAGGCAGCUUACUAAACUGCCACUGACAUUGAUGCUCGAAAGUGUGGGUAUCAAACAGGAUUAGAUACCCCAGUAGUC